This 639-nucleotide long non-coding RNA is filed under the name Homo sapiens (human). Its description in RNAcentral is "HSALNT0136947". The record is from RNAcentral. Lineage: Eukaryota; Metazoa; Chordata; Mammalia; Primates; Hominidae.
UAGGAUUGUAUUUCCUAGGCUUGAUUUGGAUGAAGCCAUGCUGUUUUCCCAGCAUUAUCUGACUUGAGCUCUAAGUAGCUGAUACUAGUGACCAUGGCCUUCUUGAAAGUGUCUUCUAGCUGGGUGAGUGGCUCAUGCCUGCAAUCCCAACACUUGGGGAGGUUGAGGUGGGUGGAUUGCUUGAGCUCAGGAGUUCAAGACCAGCUUGGGCAACAUGGCAAAACCCCAUCUCUACUAAAAAACAAACUGAAAAAAAUUAGCCAGACAUGGUGGCAUGUGCCUAUAAUCCCAGCUACUCAGAAGGCUGAGGUGGGAGGAUCACCUGAGCCUGGGAGGCCGAGGCUGCAGUGAGCCGUGAUUGUGCCACUGCACUCCAGCCUGGGUGACAGAGUGAGGCCCUGUCAAUAAAAAAAAAAAAAAAAAAAAAAAAGAUCUAGGAAGUGAGGAGCCUCUCUGCCCGGCCGCCCAUCGUCUGAGAUGUGGGGAGCGCCUCUGCCCCGCCGCCCCCUCUGGGACGUGAGGAGCGCCUCUGCCCGGCCGAGACCCUGUCUGGGAGGUGAGGAGCGUCUCUGCCCGGCCACCCCAUCUGAGAAGUGAGGAGACCCUCUGCCUGGCAACCACCCCGUCUGAGAAGUGAGG